AUCCACAGUGUUGCUGCUCUCAUCAAUCACUCUAACGAGUUGUAACGCAACAAACAAAAAAUGGGUUUGUCUAAGAACUCGCGAGUCCUACUGUUCAUGGCGGCUUUUCUCACAGCGAUCUUGUUCCUUUCCUCUGUCUCCAAGGCAGCAGUUGUAACAGGAGGACCUUUAAACCUGGGUCGUAAGCUUCUUCAAUAUAUUGGAGGGCCUCCCGCAUAUCCCGAUCCAUGGGGAGGAAAUCCACGUCCGGUUGGACCGCCAUAAAAUGUCUGAGAAAAUAAUAAACUUCAAUCUGGCAACUUGAAGAAGAAGGCACUAUUUCAAUAUUUGCAUUGGGGAUUAUCGGAAUUCUGUUAUUGUAUGUAAAAAAACUAAGUAAUAAUAUCGGGAUAACUAUUUAUUGUAUCGAUCUUCAUAUAUAUUGAUUGCUAUCGGGUAAAUAAUUGAGACCAGUUUGUAAUUUGUGUGCCAAUAUUAUGAAAAGUUUUUAGUUUCUUUGUUUCA
This is a long non-coding RNA of Camellia sinensis, 504 nucleotides long. RefSeq lists it as uncharacterized. NCBI's taxonomy places the organism in Eukaryota, Viridiplantae, Streptophyta, Magnoliopsida, Ericales, Theaceae. The record is from RefSeq and is a predicted model, not a curated record.